GAAUUUAUGGUCAAUUGAACAGUUAGAUUAAAGUAUUUGAAAGUUUUUGUGGGUUGAGGUCUCAGAAAUUGGAGUUCGAGGGUCAAUGUGUAUUUUUAAGAUCUUUAGUAAUUUGUUAAUUAGAUUGAAGUGAUUUUUAUUUACUUAUUUAUUUGUUUAUUUAUAGAAACUGGACUUGAUUUCCAACAAUUUAAGUGAAUUUUGGGAGAAAAUCAACAAUUCAAAUAGAAGAUAUUUGUGCUAGAAGUUCAAUAUUUGGUUGAAAUAGGUGGCCAACCAACACCUAAGAGAAUUUUAGGAUUUUUCUUCCAUUUAGUAAGUGCAAUUAUCUUCAAAUUUGUUGUAUUUAUUUUUAAGUAAGAAGUUGAGAACUAUAUAAAUUUUUAAGUAAGAUCAAUAGUUUAAUCAAUAGAUAUUGAGAUUCUAAUCUACUUUAGGAUUGAGUUGAGUUUGUUUAAGGCAUAGGUUUUGUCUAGGGUUUGGUUUAGGAUUUGGAAUUUGUCUAGGAUUUGGUUUAAGAUUUAGGAUUUGUCUAAGGUUUGAUUUAGGAUUUAGAAUUUGUUUAGGUCUUAGGAUUUGUCUAGGAUUUGUUUAGGGCUUAGGAUUUAAGAUUUGUCAAGGGUUUGGUUUAGGAUUUGGGAUUUUUUUAGGGCUUAGGAUUUGUCUAGGAUUUGAUAUAGGAUUUAAGACUUGUCUAGGAUUUGAUUUAUGAUUUAGAAUUUGUCUAGGAUUUGAUUUAGGAUUUAGUAUUUAUUUAGGACUUGGAGUUUAAGAUUUAGCUAGGGUUUGAUCUAGGGUUUAAUUAAGAUCCAUUAGAAUUUUAAUUAGAAUUAAAAUAAGAUUUAAUUAAGAUUUAUUUAAAAUUUCUCUAAUAUUUCUCUAAUAUUUUUUAAAGAUUUCUUCAUGUUUCUUUUGUAAUUUCUUU
RNAcentral lists this long non-coding RNA (925 nucleotides) under Physcomitrium patens. RNAcentral describes it as "long non-coding RNA (PPAT_LNC005781)". The record is from RNAcentral. Lineage: Eukaryota; Viridiplantae; Streptophyta; Bryopsida; Funariales; Funariaceae.